UUUUGCCUACGGGGGGCAGCAGUGAGGAAUAUUGGUCAAUGGGCGCAAGCCUGAACCAGCCAAGUCGCGUGAGGGAAGACGGCCCUACGGGUUGUAAACCUCUUUUGCCGGGGAGCAAGCCUGAGCACGUGUGCCCAGGCGGAGAGUACCCGGAGAAAAAGCAUCGGCUAACUCCGUGCCAGCAGCCGCGGUAAUACGGAGGAUGCGAGCGUUAUCCGGAUUUAUUGGGUUUAAAGGGUGCGUAGGCGGGAUGCCAAGUCAGCGGUAAAAAUGCGGUGCUCAACGCCGUCGAGCCGUUGAAACUG
RNAcentral lists this ribosomal RNA (305 nucleotides) under uncultured bacterium. RNAcentral's name for it is "bacterial SSU rRNA". It matches the Rfam family "Bacterial small subunit ribosomal RNA", at positions 333 to 635 of the family's 1533-position model. The record is from RNAcentral.